CUACGGGGGGCAGCAGUGGGGAAUUUUGGACAAUGGGGGCAACCCUGAUCCAGCCAUGCCGCGUGAGUGAAGAAGGCCUUCGGGUUGUAAAGCUCUUUCAGCCGGGAAGAAAUCACAUGGGUUAAUACCCUGUGUGGAUGACGGUACCGGAAUAAGAAGCACCGGCUAACUACGUGCCAGCAGCCGCGGUAAUACGUAGGGUGCGAGCGUUAAUCGGAAUUACUGGGCGUAAAGCGUGCGCAGGCGGUUUGUUAAGAUAGGCGUGAAAUCCCCGGGCUCAACCUGGGAACUGCGUUUAUGACUGGCAGGCUAGAGUAUGGCAGAGGGGGGUGGAAUUCCACGUGUAGCAGUGAAAUGCGUAGAGAUGUGGAGGAACACCGAUGGCGAAGGCAGCCCCCUGGGCCAAUACUGACGCUCAUGCACGAAAGCGUGGGUAGCAAACAGGAUUAGAUACCCUGGUAGUCCACGCCCUAAACGAUGUCAACUAGGUGUUGGGUGGGUAAAACCAUUUAGUACCGGAGCUAACGCGUGAAGUUGACCGCCUGGGGAGUACGGCCGCAAGGUUAAAACUCAAAGGAAUUGACGGGGACCCGCACAAGCGGUGGAUGAUGUGGAU
This 616-nucleotide ribosomal RNA is filed under the name uncultured bacterium. RNAcentral's name for it is "bacterial SSU rRNA". It matches the Rfam family "Bacterial small subunit ribosomal RNA", at positions 339 to 946 of the family's 1533-position model. The record is from RNAcentral.